This 275-nucleotide unclassified non-coding RNA is filed under the name Hevea brasiliensis (rubber tree). Lineage: Eukaryota; Viridiplantae; Streptophyta; Magnoliopsida; Malpighiales; Euphorbiaceae. The record is from RNAcentral.
AGUAAAAUUAUAAAAAAAAAAAAACACCCUUUUGGGUGAAUGUUAUAUAAAAAGAACCAAAAGGGUAUUUUACAAUUUUCACAAAAAGCAAAAACUGUUCAACACUACCCUCACUAAUCCUUAUUCAAGAAUUGAACAACACACCUCACAACCAAAAAUACAAUCUUUUUUUUAUUUUUUUUGCAUAGGAUUCUGACUUUUAACCCCCAAGACUCCACCUUUUUUGCCCCAAGAAAGUUCAAACAACACCCAUGGAAUCCAAAUUAAGAUUCUUU